Long non-coding RNA from Rhea pennata, 582 nucleotides. RefSeq lists it as uncharacterized. Lineage: Eukaryota; Metazoa; Chordata; Aves; Rheiformes; Rheidae. The transcript has 3 exons. The record is from RefSeq and is a predicted model, not a curated record.
UUAGCAGAAAUUAGGAAUGGGACUCGGAGCUUCUAAUGAGCGCUAAAGCCAUGACAGCGGCAACCGGUGAGCAGAGAUAGCGAGGGGAAGAUUCAUCGCUACGUAAAGAUUCAUUAUCACAUGCAGGACCAAAAUCUUGCCCAAAUGAGGGGAAGGGAGAGGCUGGAGGGGUAGCCAAGGAGAAAUCUUCAGUCAAAAGGCAAAAUAAAUCGCGAUGGCCUUGAACGUGCUUGGAGACUGACACAGCGCCGGCUGAAGAGUUCCUGGGAAAUGGAAAUGCAAAAUCGCAUUUAUCAUAUUCCACAAAGUCGGUAGACGCUGAAACUGGAAAGCUCCAGACGCAUCAGAAAUACGAAUAGCUCCGCAUAAUAACUAAAAUAAUGCACUGAGCAUGCACCAACCUUAUCUCCGGCACACAAAACGCCGGAAAAUCCAAUCCUAAUAGCAGUGGAAAGGUCGUAAGUGAAUUCAGGGACCUACGAGCUCUUGAGAAGAGAGCUCCAGACAACCUUUGCAGUCAGGGGACGUUCGGAUGAGGCAGACAGCCGCGUGUGAGGCAGUGCCACGUACGCCCCACGGCGC